UCUCCGUGCCGUAGCUAACGCAUUAAGUACCCCGCCUGGGGAGUACGGCCGCAAGGCUAAAACUCAAAGGAAUUGACGGGGACCCGCACAAGCAGCGGAGCAUGUGGUUUAAUUCGAAGCAACGCGAAGAACCUUACCAGGUCUUGACAUCCUCUGACCAUCUGAGAGAUCAGACUUUCCCUUCGGGGACAGAGAGACAGGUGGUGCAUGGUUGUGGUUACCUUGUUACGACUUGCAUNNNUAAGCCUGCCGCUAGCGUUCAUCCUGAGCCAGGAUCAAACUCUUNAGUUGGGCACUCUAAGCAGACUGCCGUGGAUAACACGGAGGAAGGUGGGGACGACGUCAAAUCAUCAUGCCCCUUAUGACCUGGGCUACACACGUGCUACAAUGGUCU
RNAcentral lists this ribosomal RNA (394 nucleotides) under uncultured Bacillota bacterium. Its description in RNAcentral is "bacterial SSU rRNA". It matches the Rfam family "Bacterial small subunit ribosomal RNA", at positions 838 to 1236 of the family's 1533-position model. Lineage: Bacteria; Bacillati; Bacillota. The record is from RNAcentral.